UGGGGAAUUUUGGACAAUGGGCGCAAGCCUGAUCCAGCCAUGCCGCGUGCGGGAAGAAGGCCUUCGGGUUGUAAACCGCUUUUGUCAGGGAAGAAAAGCUCUGGGCUAAUACCUCGGGGUGAUGACGGUACCUGAAGAAUAAGCACCGGCUAACUACGUGCCAGCAGCCGCGGUAAUACGUAGGGUGCGAGCGUUAAUCGGAAUUACUGGGCGUAAAGCGUGCGCAGGCGGUUGUGCAAGACAGAUGUGAAAUCCCCGGGCUUAACCUGGGAACUGCAUUUGUGACUGCACGGCUAGAGUGUGGCAGAGGGGGAUGGAAUUCCGCGUGUAGCAGUGAAAUGCGUUAGAUAUGCGGAGGAACACCGAUGGCGAAGGCAAUCCCCUGGGCCUGCACUGACGCUCAUGCACGAAAGCGUGGGGAGCAAACA
This 428-nucleotide ribosomal RNA is filed under the name uncultured Caldimonas sp. RNAcentral describes it as "bacterial SSU rRNA". It matches the Rfam family "Bacterial small subunit ribosomal RNA", at positions 355 to 774 of the family's 1533-position model. Lineage: Bacteria; Pseudomonadati; Pseudomonadota; Betaproteobacteria; Burkholderiales; Sphaerotilaceae. The record is from RNAcentral.